RNAcentral lists this signal recognition particle RNA (99 nucleotides) under Candidatus Pelagibacteraceae bacterium. RNAcentral describes it as "signal recognition particle sRNA small type". It matches the Rfam family "Bacterial small signal recognition particle RNA". From Rfam's summary of the family: The signal recognition particle (SRP) is a universally conserved ribonucleoprotein involved in the co-translational targeting of proteins to membranes. Archaeal SRP consists of a 7S RNA and homologues of the eukaryotic SRP19 and SRP54 proteins. RNAcentral also lists the same sequence under 1 other name. The record is from RNAcentral. Lineage: Bacteria; Pseudomonadati; Pseudomonadota; Alphaproteobacteria; Candidatus Pelagibacterales; Candidatus Pelagibacteraceae.
AUCGGGAGAUUAUGCAGACGAGUAUAUCUCGAACUCGGUCAGGGCAGAAAUGCAGCAGCCGUAGAGGCAAUACUUGGGUUGUUUUAAUCUCCCACUAAA